Molecule: ribosomal RNA, 405 nt
Rfam family: Bacterial small subunit ribosomal RNA
UGGGGGAUAUUGCACAAUGGGGGAAACCCUGAUGCAGCGACGCCGCGUGAGGGAAGAAGGUCUUCGGAUUGUAAACCUUUGUCUUUGGGGACGAACACAAUGACGGUACCCAAGGAGGAAGCUCCGGCUAACUACGUGCCAGCAGCCGCGGUAAUACGUAGGGAGCAAGCGUUGUCCGGAAUUACUGGGUGUAAAGGGUGCGUAGGCGGGAACGCAAGUCAGAUGUGAAAUACGAAGGCUCAACCUUCGGGCUGCAUUUGAAACUGCGUUUCUUGAGUGAAGUAGAGGCAAGCGGAAUUCCUAGUGUAGCGGUGAAAUGCGUAGAUAUUAGGAGGAACACCAGUGGCGAAGGCGGCUUGCUGGGCUUUUACUGACGCUGAGGCACGAAAGUGUGGGGAGCAAACA